CGCGGUAUUUUGACCGUGCGAAGGUAGCAUAAUCAUUAGUCUUUUAAUUGGAGGCUUGUAUGAAGGGUUGGACGAGAAAUUAGCUGUCUUUGUAGGAAAAAUAAAAUUUAACUUUUAAGUGAGAGGGCUUAAAUGUUCUAAAGGGACGAUAAGACCCUAUAAAGUUUGACAUUUUAUUUUUUGAUGAGUAAAUUAGAAUAAUUAAAGUUCAUUAGAUAUUAAAUGUUUUGUUGGGGCGACAAGAAUAUAAAUAAUUUAACUGUUUUUAUGUAAUUACAAAGAUAAUUGAAUUUAUGGUCCUUAUUAAAGAGUGAAGAGUAAAUUACUUUAGGGAUAACAGCGUAAUUUUUUUUGAGAGUUCAUAUCGACAAAAAAGUUUGCGACCUCGAUGUUGAAUUAAAGGUUCUUUAUAAUGUAGCAGUUAUGAAAGAGGGUCUGUUCGACCUUUAA
This 450-nucleotide ribosomal RNA is filed under the name Geocharax falcata. RNAcentral's name for it is "partial 16S large subunit ribosomal RNA". It matches the Rfam family "Archaeal large subunit ribosomal RNA", at positions 2009 to 2660 of the family's 2987-position model. The record is from RNAcentral. Lineage: Eukaryota; Metazoa; Arthropoda; Malacostraca; Decapoda; Parastacidae.